UCCACAUAGUGUCUUGAAUUGGGAUGCAGAUGCUGUUGAUCCAUGUAGUUGGACUAUGAUCACUUUUUCUCCAGAUAAAUUUGUCGUUGGCUUAUAGUGCAAGUGUUAGCCGAGUUUAUUAUCUAUUAUAGUUAUAGCUAUUUGAUUUUUAUUUAUUUAAAUUUUGUCUAUUAGUCGUUUCGCGUUGGUCCAGAGCAAGAACAAGGGCUGCCAAGGUUGGAAAAGGCUUAUCAAAGAAUGGUAAAGCACAAAAGCUUGCCUUGCAACAUUGGCUUGAGGCAAUUGAUCCGAGACAUCGUUACGGGCAUAAUCUUCACUUCUAUUAUGGAAAAUGAUUGCAUUCUCAAAGCAAAGAACCCUUCUUCUACUGUUGACACCAUAUCCUGGCCUGAUGAGUAGUAGUCAGAUUGACCUGGUCGAUCUGAAAGUCAAUACUACAUGAAAACUGGUGAUUGUGAGUUUGGUUGUAAGUUUCAUUAUCCACCAGAUUGGGCAAUAUCA
Long non-coding RNA from Helianthus annuus (common sunflower), 501 nucleotides. RefSeq lists it as uncharacterized. The transcript is spliced from 5 exons. Lineage: Eukaryota; Viridiplantae; Streptophyta; Magnoliopsida; Asterales; Asteraceae. The record is from RefSeq and is a predicted model, not a curated record.